AACGAACGCUGGCGGCAUGCCUAACACAUGCAAGUCGAACGAGACCUUCGGGUCUAGUGGCGCACGGGUGCGUAACGCGUGGGAACCUGCCCUUAGGUUCGGAAUAACUCCCCGAAAGGGGUGCUAAUACCGGAUAAUGUCUUCGGACCAAAGAUUUAUCGCCUUUGGAUGGGCCCGCGUUGGAUUAGCUAGUUGGUAGGGUAAAAGCCUACCAAGGCGACGAUCCAUAGCUGGUCUGAGAGGAUGAUCAGCCACACUGGGACUGAGACACGGCCCAGACUCCUACGGGAGGCAGCAGUGGGGAAUAUUGGACAAUGGGCGAAAGCCUGAUCCAGCAAUGCCGCGGGAGUGAGGAAGGCCUUAGGGUUGUAAAGCUCUUUUACCCGGGAUGAUAAUGACAGUACCGGGAGAAUAAGCUCCGGCUAACUCCGUG
This 433-nucleotide ribosomal RNA is filed under the name uncultured bacterium. Its description in RNAcentral is "partial 16S ribosomal RNA". It matches the Rfam family "Bacterial small subunit ribosomal RNA", at positions 29 to 507 of the family's 1533-position model. The record is from RNAcentral.